Molecule: long non-coding RNA, 2062 nt
Organism: Neoarius graeffei (lesser salmon catfish)
Lineage: Eukaryota; Metazoa; Chordata; Actinopteri; Siluriformes; Ariidae
Exons: 3
Source: RefSeq, a predicted model, not a curated record
CAACUACAGUUCCUCAAACAAUCAUGAUUUGGCACAGAAACACAAAAAUGUCAUGACACCUGUCAUAAAUGAGGCCAUCAAUGCCCUUCUCCCUGAGUAUCCUCCUGUUCUCAUGGUCAUUGUUGUCAUCUCCCCAGCAGAAAACCACCAGGCCUUUGGACUGGGCCUCUGUAAUGCAGUCCAUGUUGCGCAGCAGAUCCUCAGUGUGAGCACUGAUACCCUGUGAACAAGAACAAAGGGCAAGUUCCUUUUUUUUUUUUUUUUACAUGAAAGAACAAACUUCCAAAACUAAACAUACCACAUAAUGGCUCAUUCAGUGUCAGUCACCACCUACAAGUAUGUAUUUGCAAAUAUAUUUAGAGAAGCAACUGCAAUGUGCUGUAAACUAACCCUGAUAAAAAUGAUAGAAUGAAAUCAGUGUUUGUUAUAGUUUUAUUUUUUCAACAUUCAUUACAGGUUUAUGCCACAUCUCUGUUGAAUUCUUGAAUCUGAACGCGUGGAUUAAUUUUCUGCAACAGCAGCUUUGAGGUUUUCUGUAAGGACAGAUUUAGUUCACAUUUAUGAAGAAGUGAAGUCUACAGGGUCAGCAUUCUGUUCUGGAACAGUCAACACAUGUUCGACCACAGGACACAGGGUAUCUGCACAUUUUUCAAGUACAAAUUUAAAGACAUUUAAGACCUUUUCAAGAUCUCUAAAUGGAAAAAUUAAGACUGUACCAUGGCAAAGAAAAUGAUAUGACAACGUAAAACUGUUUUCUGCAAUAGUUUUUUUUUAUACUAACUUUAAGAAUGCACACAAUUGGUGAACAAUAGGGUGCAUCAAUGGCAACUGUUAGACAUGCAAACAGCUGAAGCAAAGUCGUGUGUUCUGGGCCUGCAGAACUACUGUAGCAGCAAGGAGAAGACUGGAGAAAACACCAUGAAUCAUUUCAAAAACGAAAACAAUAAACGGCAAGUAGAACCAGCUGAACAACCUUAGCCGGCAUUGUUUCAAUCCCCAAAGAUUAUCUUUGAUGAUGUGUGAUUUUGUGUCUGACAGCAAAAUCAGUCUGAGUGUCGUACAGUAUACAGCUGGCUGAGGAAGUUCUUCUGCAUUAUAGCAGGAAAGCGAGUUCAGUUGCACCAGUCCUCCUGGAGUGAGCUGAGGGUUGUUGGUAAAACCCGGGACGGAAUGGGACGUGACCUAUUGCUCGGGCAGUGACCUCCCCGCAGUUGUUGCUAAAACCGGAGACGUCCCGUUCCGUCCCGGGUUUUAGUAAUUGCCUGAGCCGAGCAGUAAUGGCGGAGUACUCAGUAUGGAGAAUGAGUGGAGCAGCCAUCUUAUUUCUAAACUGGAUAUUGCUGCCAUCUUGCCCUUACGUGGAAGAAGUGAAUGAACGGAGAACUGAACAAACAACUGAAAGUCAGAUUGUUUCAAAAACAAUUGGCCACAAGAUCGGCCUUCAAGAAGUGAGAACACAGACGGUUAAGCUCCGACUCUCAUUUGGAUUAAAAAAAAAAAAAAAAAAAAACACCACCACGUUGUUUACCUGCAUUUAGAUUAAUACAUUUAACUUGCAUUGUGUGUUUAAGUUACCGGUAGAGGUCUGCACGGGUCGGAUUUUUCAGUCCCGCGCCCGCCCGCGCCCGCAUUGUGCAGUCCCACUCCCGCCCGCGCCCGCAAAAAAUUAUGAUUUUCAGUCCCGCUCCCGCCUGCGCCUGCCAUAUUUUGUCCCGCUCCCGCCCGCAAAUCCCGCAUGAUGCAGACGUUCGCGUUAUUUCUCAGGAAAGUUCUUGUCUUGACACAGCGUGAUGGUGCCCCGCCCCCUGCUUUGAGUGGAUUUCAGCAUAAAUAUCUACAGCUCACGUUAUUAUUAUUUACCUUGUUUCGGAAUUCAGCAUGUACUAUCUCUAAUAAUAAUAAUUAGUGCUGUAAAGAGAUUAAAAUAUUUAAUCACGAAUCACACGUUUUUAUCAUAUGAGAAACCAUUGUAAUUCUCUGAUCAGCAUAAAAAAGUGAAUGGGCUUGCUUUGUACCAAUGAUGGUGGUGGGUGUGUGUGGGGGUGUGGUUUUUUUUUUUAUU